AGAGUUUGAUCCUGGCUCAGAACGAACGCUGGCGGCGCGUUUUAAGCAUGCAAGUUUAAGGGGUUAUUUUUAGCAAUAGAAGUAAUCACUGGCGUACGGGUGAGUAACACGUGAGAACCUGCCUUGAGAUGGGGGAUAACCGAUAGAGAUAUCGGAUAAUACCGCAUAUGCCGAGAGGUGAAAGCUGCUUUUGUAGCGUCUUGAGAUGGUCUUGCGUCCAAUUAGUUAGUUGGUGGGGUAAAAGCUUACCAAGGCGACGAUUGGUAGCCGGCCUGAGAGGGUGAUCGGCCACAUUGGGACUGAGACACGGCCCAGACUCCUACGGGAGGCAGCAGCUAAGAAUAUUCCGCAAUGGGAGCAAUCCUGACGGAGCGACGCCGCGUGAACGAUGAAGGCAGAAAUGUUGUAAAGUUCUUUUUAACGGGAAGAAUAAGUAUAGUGAGAGAAACGCUAUAUGAUGACGGUACCGUUAGAAUAAGUCACGGCUAACUACGUGCCAGCAGCCGCGGUAAUACGUAGGUGACAAGCGUUGUUCGGAUUCAUUGGGCGUAAAGGGCAUGUAGGCGGUAUAAUAAGUGUGAAUUGAAAGACCGGGGCUUAACCCCGAGUUUGGUUUGCAAACUGUUAUACUAGAGUAUGGGAGAGGAGACUGGAAUUCCGUGUGUAGGGGUGAAAUCUGUAGAUAUGCGGAAGAAUACUUAUGGCGAAGGCAAGUCUCUGGCCUGUAACUGACGCUGAAAUGCGAAAGUGUGGGGAGCAAACAGGAUUAGAUACCCUGGUAGUCCACACUGUAAACGUUGUACACUAGGUGUUAGAGGAUAGAACCUCUGGUACCGAAGCAAACGCGUUAAGUGUACCGCCUGGGGAGUAUGCUCGCAAGGGUGAAACUCAAAGGAAUUGACGGGGGCCCGCACAAGCGGUGGAGCAUGUGGUUUAAUUCGAUUGUACGCGAAAAACCUUACCUGGGCUUGACAUACAUUUGACUGAGGCAGAGAUGUCUUUUUCUCUUCGGAGACAGAUGUACAGGUGCUGCAUGGCUGUCGUCAGCUCGUGUUGUGAGAUGUUGGGUUAAGUCCCGCAACGAGCGCAACCCUUACUAUUAGUUGCCAUCUGGGUAAUGCCAGGGCACUCUAUUAGAACUGCCAGUGACAAACUGGAGGAAGGUGGGGAUGACGUCAAGUCCUCAUGGCCCUUAUGUCCAGGGCUACACACGUGCUACAAUGGGCUGUACAAAGGGUCGCAAUCUCGCGAGAGGGAGCCAAUCCCAAAAAAGCAGUCCGUAGUUCAGAUUGGAGUCUGCAACUCGACUCCAUGAAGUUGGAAUCGCUAGUAAUCACAGAUCAGCAUGCUGUGGUGAAUACGUUCCCGGGCCUUGUACACACCGCCCGUCACACCACCCGAGUCGAAAGUACCCGAAGUUGUUACCCUAACCGUAAGGAGGGGGGCACCUAAGGUAAGUUUGGUGAGGGGGGUGAAGUCGUAACAAGGUA
RNAcentral lists this ribosomal RNA (1490 nucleotides) under metagenome. RNAcentral's name for it is "bacterial SSU rRNA". It matches the Rfam family "Bacterial small subunit ribosomal RNA". The record is from RNAcentral.